AGUGAACGCUGGCGGUAGGCCUAACACAUGCAAGUCGAACGGCAGCACAGUAAGAGCUUGCUCUUACGGGUGGCGAGUGGCGGACGGGUGAGGAAUACAUCGGAAUCUACUUUUUCGUGGGGGAUAACGUAGGGAAACUUACGCUAAUACCGCAUACGACCUACGGGUGAAAGCAGGGGAUCUUCAGACCUUGCGCGAUUGAAUGAGCCGAUGUCGGAUUAGCUAGUUGGCGGGGUAAAGGCCCACCAAGGCGACGAUCCGUAGCUGGUCUGAGAGGAUGAUCAGCCACACUGGAACUGAGACACGGUCCAGACUCCUACGGGAGGCAGCAGCGGGGAAUAUUGGACAAUGGGCGCAAGCCUGAUCCAGCCAUACCGCGUGGGUGAAGAAGGCCUUCGGGUUGUAAAGCCCUUUUGUUGGGAAAGAAGAGCAGCAGGUUAAUACCCCGCUGUUCUGACGGUACCCAAAGAAUAAGCACCGGCUAACUUCGUG
RNAcentral lists this ribosomal RNA (492 nucleotides) under uncultured bacterium. RNAcentral's name for it is "partial 16S ribosomal RNA". It matches the Rfam family "Bacterial small subunit ribosomal RNA", at positions 29 to 507 of the family's 1533-position model. The record is from RNAcentral.